UACGUAGGGAGCAAGCGUUGACCGGAAUCAUUGGGCGUAAAGCGCGCGUAGGCGGCCUCAUAAGUCCGUUGUGAAAGUCAAAGGCUCAACCUUUGAAAGCCGAUGGAUACUGUGAGGCUAGAGUCCGGAAGAGGCGAGUGGAAUUCCUGGUGUAGCGGUGGAAUGCGCAGAUAUCAGGAGGAACACCAAUAGCGAAGGCAGCUCGCUGGGACGGUACUGACGCUAAGGCGCGAAAGCGUGGGGAGCGAACAGG
RNAcentral lists this ribosomal RNA (253 nucleotides) under uncultured bacterium. Its description in RNAcentral is "partial 16S ribosomal RNA". It matches the Rfam family "Bacterial small subunit ribosomal RNA", at positions 524 to 776 of the family's 1533-position model. The record is from RNAcentral.